Molecule: long non-coding RNA, 345 nt
Organism: Phyllopteryx taeniolatus (common seadragon)
Lineage: Eukaryota; Metazoa; Chordata; Actinopteri; Syngnathiformes; Syngnathidae
Exons: 3
Source: RefSeq, a predicted model, not a curated record
CAGUUUGGGCGCGAAGCUUCCGGUGACGUGAGCGGCGACUUUGGGCCGCGGCAACGUGCUGUCCUCUGGCACCAGCGAGGGCAGAACCCGAGACACUUCAUCUGAACAGGAAGUGGCCCCACGGAUGUGAACUUCCUGCUUCCAUGGAGGCGCAAGAUAGAAACCGGAGUACAGAAAACACAAAGACAGAUGGAAUCGAACGUGAGAUUGUGGCGGAAAACGAAGGAGAAAAUCAUCCUGAGCUUUGGGAUGCGGGAAAGUUGCGCAGUUCCCGGAGACGGAGGAAGAGCUGCUGCAGAUUGGAGCCGAACGGAGGGCAAGCGGCUGCGCUCUCCAACUUGGUCU